RNAcentral lists this ribosomal RNA (497 nucleotides) under uncultured bacterium. RNAcentral's name for it is "partial 16S ribosomal RNA". It matches the Rfam family "Bacterial small subunit ribosomal RNA", at positions 28 to 507 of the family's 1533-position model. The record is from RNAcentral.
GAUGAACGCUGGCGGCGUGCCUAAUACAUGUAAGUAGAACGCUGAAGGAAGGAGCUUGCUCUUUCCGGAUGAGUUGCGAACGGGUGAGUAACGCGUAGGUAACCUGCCUGGUAGCGGGGGAUAACUAUUGGAAACGAUAGCUAAUACCGCAUAACAGUAGAUGUUGCAUGAUAUCUACUUAAAAGGUGCAAUUGCACCACUACCAGAUGGACCUGCGUUGUAUUAGCUAGUUGGUGAGGUAACGGCUCACCAAGGCGACGAUACAUAGCCGACCUGGGAGGGUGAUCGGCCACACUGGGACUGAGACACGGCCCAGACUCCUACGGGAGGCAGCAGUAGGGAAUCUUCGGCAAUGGACGGAAGUCUGACCGAGCAACGCCGCGUGAGUGAAGAAGGUUUUCGGAUCGUAAAGCUCUGUUGUAAGAGAAGAACGAGUGUGAGAGUGGAAAGUUCACACUGUGACGGUAUCUUACCAGAAAGGGACGGCUAACUACGUG